Molecule: ribosomal RNA, 354 nt
Filed under: uncultured bacterium
Lineage: Bacteria
Description: bacterial SSU rRNA
Rfam family: Bacterial small subunit ribosomal RNA
Source: RNAcentral
GACGUGACUUCAGAGUUUGAUCCUGGCUCAGGACGAACGCUGGCGGCGUGCUUAACACAUGCAAGUCGAACGAGAAUCAAUGGAAAGAGACUUCGGUCAAUGGAAGUUGAGGACAGUGGCGGACGGGUGAGUAACGCGUGAGGAACCUGCCUUUCAGAGGGGGACAACAGUUGGAAACGACUGCUAAUACCGCAUAACGCAUAGGUGUCGCAUGGCACAUAUGCCAAAGAUUUAUCGCUGAAAGAUGGCCUCGCGUCUGAUUAGCUAGUUGGUGAGGUAACGGCUCACCAAGGCGACGAUCAGUAGCCGGACUGAGAGGUUGGCCGGCCACAUUGGGACUGAGAUACGGCCCAG